CAACAUGUGGGAAUUCUAGGAGAUACAAUUCAAGUUGAGAUCUGAAUGUGGACACAGCCAAACCAUAUCAGGCUACUUGGGGGUUUAAGAAUUCAUAUAACUUGCUCAGCCAGAGAAAGCAUAACUGAUAAUUCAGAUAUUCCAGCAGUCACAAACUUUUCCUACCCCAGGUAGAUGCACAUGUCUUUUAUUAGAGGGGGUGGGAGGAGAAGAACAGAGCUGUGCUUAGGUGUGAAAAGAACUAAAAACAAAACUAAGAAACAACCUAACAAACAAAAAACACCCAGGCCAAGGCUCGUGGCAUCCCCACUUCUUUAAUGCUGAACAAUAUUCUUCAUAUAGUUGUAAUAUGAUCUCAAGAGUAACUGAGACUUCAUGGUGUAAAAAUAUUACUUUUAAGGAUGGCUAGUUUUUUGUUUUACACAGUACUUUGGGGGGAUUAGGGUUUUAAGUUUAUAGUGUCAUCAGAUUUUAUUUCACAUUAUGAUGAAAAUCAAAGCCAUGGAUAAUGUUUCAUUUUGCAGGGGUUAUUGUUUUACUGUAACCUAAAGUCCAUGUAGCAGUGGUUCUCAUACUAGAGCAUGCAACAGAACCCCCAGGAGGGCAUGGUGAAACACACUGAAUCUCGGACGCACUCUCUGAGCAUACUCUUUCUGGGCGUUUCGGAUCCUGGCAUCAGGGUCCUGAAUUUAUUUCAGUUGGGUAUGUGGACUCACAGCCUAUCACCAAAUAUGACUGUCACUCGGCAGAAGGAGCCGCGGGCCCCAUGGAUUGCAGAGGAACCUCGCGCCUGCAUCACUGGGAGAGGUACACUCAGGCCUGUGAGGGGCUGGUCCCAGCGCGCGCAGACGUUCAGACGGUGGAACUGAGCGCCUGCAGACGGCCACUACAAAUCACACUCAGGGUCUCACACUUACCAGAGAAUGAUUGGCUGUGAGCUGCUGGAGGAUGGAAGCACCACAGGAUUUCUGCAGUAUGCAUAUGACGGGCAGAUUUCCUGAUCUUCAAUAAAGACAGCCUCUCCUGGCUGGCUGUAGAUAAUGUGGCUCACACCGUCAAGCGGGCAUGGGAGGCCAAUCAGCAUGAGUUGCAAAAUCAAAAGAAUUAGCUGGAAAAAGAAUGUAUUGCCUGGCUAAAGAGAUUCCACACCUAUGGGGAAGACACCCUACAAAGAACAGGUAAAGAGAGGAGGCCUUGUUCCUGCAUUGCCUGAACAACUGUUUCUGUACAUAACUCCUCUGAUCUAGGUUACAUCCACCCUAUCCUGAAGCCAUCUCUUUAGUUAGCUUGUUGUGAUCUCAUGGCUAGAGCCCCCCACGAACUUUCUCUGGUUACUUUUGGGUAGCAUCUUGACAAGAUUUGACAGUUCCCCUUUUCUUGACAGAGUACCUCCAAGGGCACCUUGUUUUUGGGGAUCCAUUGAGGCAAAUUCUUGCGUCAAUGACAAGCUGGGAAAUUCUUUGGGAGGUGGAGCAAUUCUUACAAAUUGUUUAGUUAACAAAGAGCUCACACACCACCAGUAGGACUGAAAAUCUGGAUUUACCAGGACAAACAGAGGGUCUCUGCUUUACUAACGGCUUGAUGACAAGAUUCCUUCCAGCAAAGAGCUCUUCUUAUACCUUAAAGAUACGAUUCAAUUGGUCAACUUUUAGUUAAUACAGAACUUUUCGUGUAUGAUCUUAUUAUUCAAAAUGAAUUACCUCUGCAUCAUGCUACAGGAAAUACCUAGACACAGGUGCCUUUCCUCACAGGAGUAGGAGGGGUUUUCUCAGUUGUGGCCAAUAGCAGGGGAGGUAUCUGGCCACAGUUAUGAAUAUGGAGCAUCUGCUAAAAGUACAGGCUUUGGAGGCAGAUGACUAGAGUCUGAGCUUUGACUCUCCCAUUCCCUAGCUGAAAAACUAUCUCUUAAUGGUUGUAGGUAACAGAAACCUAUGUAAACCGGCUCAAGCACAAAGUGGGAUGCUAUUUUAAAGGUGGGAAUCAGGGCAGUGUGGGGACCUGAGAGAUCAAAACCAAGAUGUGAAUGAUUUUAUCCAUGAGGUAGGGACAUGGCUGCCAGCACAAAGCUCGUAUCCUCCACACAUCAUCACUCUAUAAGAAUGGGCGUCUCUCUCCUUGCUCUGGUUACUAAAAGGAAAAGGAAGUCACAGGAGGACUCUGACGUACGUUAGAUCAUGUGGCACCUCUGGGCCUAAUCACCAAGACCAUCAGGAUAAGCCUCUAAGCCAAGCCAUAGCUAACAGCCCUGGCAAGAACUAAAUGGUACACUCAAUAUGGUUUAAAUGAAUUCAACAAAGACAGCAUCUGUAGGGGGAUAAUCAGGACUGAGGAAACCAGUAUGGGAUGGUGAAGUGUCCAGAGACGUGUCACAGAGGGAAGCAUUACCUCCACCAGAGGUGAAGGGUAAAAGAGAAUACUGUUAUCAUAGUUCAGCAAGAGCUGCUCCCCAGGCAGAGGAUGCUCCUUGUGAGAGCUGUGACCGUGGCCCCUGGUGGGACUGUAGUGGGGUGGGUUGGGGAAUGAAGCCCCAAACUCUCUCUCCUCCAGCUCUCUGGUCUUUUUUGAGGAUGCUCAUUGCAAUGGCCGAACCCAACCAGAGGCCGGGGGCUCUGGAAGUGCAGUCUGAUGUGUACAGCCUCCUGGGGCACGGAAGGGCAGAGAUGAGAUUAGCUGGGGACUCACAGGGAGAGUCCAACCAGCACACACACUGUUUUAGGCUAGGGCUGGGCAGGAGGAUUAAGAUUGGUGCCGCUCAACACAAGCACAUGUUGGAAUGGGGUAGGGUCAUUUUCCAAAAUACGCUGUGUUUGGCAGAAGGGGUUCCUGCAGUUAGAAAAAGUGAGGCUAACAGAUGGUAGGCCAAAAAAGCAAUAAACUUGAGUGAAAUCAACAGGUAUGAUAAAGCCUACCCUACAGAAAUGGAUAAGAAAAAUGUGCAUAAAACCACUGUGUAAACUGUAGGGCUCUGUUCCCUUUUCAUGAGGCCAUCAGUCAUACUGGAUUAGGGGCCCACCCUACUACUGCAGGAUGACCUCACCUUCCCAAAUUACAUCAACCCUAUUUCCAGAGAAGGCCACAUUCUGAGGUCCUGGGGGUUACAACUUCAUGAAUUUUUGCGGGGGGAAACAAUUCAACUCCUAAUACAUCUCUACCCAACCUCUGUAGGUUCCCUCAAUCCACCAAAACUUUCUGGCUCCACUGGAUUAUCUAGCAGUUAGGAAACCAAGAUCAUUAAACGAAUUCACCGCAGCUACAGUGAGACUGACUACCUUAGCUUACCUCUGUGAGAGGAGUUAAGCCAAGGGAAUCUGUGGAAUUUUCGAGGAUUUGGGGGCAUUUGGGGGCAGGCGGCAAAUGUCCUUCCUUUAAAUCCCAACACUUAGUUCUCUUCCAUUUAUAAGACUCGCUCCUCCAUCCCAACCCCUGCACCACAGGACAAGGAAGUGUUCUUGGCCUUCAACUUUCAUCCCUGAUGGUGAAAGCAGUUGCUCCUGAUCUAUUUGCCCACCAGCUUCUCCUCUGGAGCCUGAGGCAUCUGAUGCCUGCCCGGCUGGUUCUCAGUAAGAAGGUCAAGUUCAACCAGAGGGCAAAUGCUGAUGCCUUUCAGUAGUUAAAUAUGAGUUCAGACCCCGGGGUCUGGACAGAAGAUUUGGAGUCCCACCAGCUGGGCAUAAGUGGCUCAUACCUGUAAUCCCAGCACUUGGGGAGGCUGAGGCAGGUGGAUCACUUGAGGUCAGGAGUUCGAGACCA
Cercocebus atys (sooty mangabey) is the source of this 3750-nucleotide RNA transcript. It is a transcript of the gene named major histocompatibility complex class I-related gene protein-like, with no coding region annotated. The record is from RefSeq and is a predicted model, not a curated record. Lineage: Eukaryota; Metazoa; Chordata; Mammalia; Primates; Cercopithecidae. The transcript has 5 exons.